Molecule: ribosomal RNA, 472 nt
Filed under: uncultured bacterium
Lineage: Bacteria
Description: bacterial SSU rRNA
Rfam family: Bacterial small subunit ribosomal RNA
Source: RNAcentral
CCGACGGAGGAUGCAAGCGUUAUCCGGAAUGAUUGGGCGUAAAGCGUCCGUAGGUGGCAGUUCAAGUCUGCUGUCAAAGACCGGGGCUCAACCUCGGAAAGGCAGUGGAAACUGAACAGCUAGAGUAAGGUAGGGGCAAAGGGAAUUCCUGGUGUAGCGGUGAAAUGCGUAGAGAUCAGCAAGAACAUCGGUGGCGAAGGCGCUUUGCUGGACCAUAAGCAGACACUGAGCGACGAAAGCUAGGGGAGCGAAUGGGAUUAGAUACCCCAGUAGUCCUAGCCGUAAACGAUGGAUACUAGGUGUUGUCUGUAUCGACCCGGACAGUUGCCGUAGCUCAACGCGUUAAGUAUCCCGCCUGGGGAGUACGCACGCAAGUGUGAAACUCAAAGGAAUUGACGGGGGCCCGCACAAGCGGUGGAGUAUGUGGUUUAAUUCGAUCACAACGCGAAGAACCUUACCAGGACUUGACAAA